UGGGGAAUCUUGCGCAAUGGGCGAAAGCCUGACGCAGCGACGCCGCGUGAGUGAUGAAGGCCUUCGGGUUGUAAAGCUCUGUGGGGAGAGAAGAAUAAGUGCGGGCUAAUACCCCGCAUGAUGACGGUAUCUCCUUAGCAAGCACCGGCUAACUCUGUGCCAGCAGCCGCGGUAAGACAGAGGGUGCAAACGUUGUUCGGAAUUACUGGGCGUAAAGCGAGUGUAGGCGGUUUGGUAAGUCGGAUGUGAAAGCCCCCGGGCUCAACCCGGGAAGUGCAUUCGAUACUGCCAAGCUAGAGUAUCGGAGAGGUUGGUGGAAUUCUCGGUGUAGAGGUGAAAUUCGUAGAUAUCGAGAGGAACACCGGUGGCGAAGGCGGCCAACUGGACGAAUACUGACGCUGAGACUCGAAAGCGUGGGGAGCAAACAGGAUUAGAUACCCUCGUAGUCCCUGAGCGGGCUGGCAAGGCGCAU
This 472-nucleotide ribosomal RNA is filed under the name uncultured bacterium. RNAcentral's name for it is "bacterial SSU rRNA". It matches the Rfam family "Bacterial small subunit ribosomal RNA", at positions 355 to 825 of the family's 1533-position model. The record is from RNAcentral.